Molecule: non-coding RNA, 397 nt
Organism: Lolium perenne
Lineage: Eukaryota; Viridiplantae; Streptophyta; Magnoliopsida; Poales; Poaceae
Source: RefSeq, a predicted model, not a curated record
AAACAUUCCUGCUGUCAGAGCUUGCACGAAAGCGAGGACACAAAUGCAGUUCUUCUGUAAGAUGCUCAUUGCGAGUGAUGCAAGCACACAUGGAGGCUCCUCUGUGCCUUACCGUGCCGCGGAGAAGAUAUCCCUGCCCUGGACACAAAUGAAAUUCUUCUGUAAGAUGCGCACUGUGAGUGACACAAGCACAAAUGGAGGCUCCUCCAUUAAGCCACAUGAGUUCAAAAACCUAUUGGUUGGUUGCCAGUUGGCGAGAAAGAGGCCCAUGGAUUCCCUUAGACGAACAUAUAUUAGAUGGCUAUCAUUAUACAAUACACCUUGAGUGCCUUCAUAACUGUCCAGAAGCUUCCUGUGCUGUUGCUGGUUUCUGUUUCUUGCCUGCUCGCCCACUACA